This 792-nucleotide long non-coding RNA is filed under the name Fukomys damarensis (Damara mole-rat). Its description in RNAcentral is "lncRNA (ENSFDAG00000027706.1)". Lineage: Eukaryota; Metazoa; Chordata; Mammalia; Rodentia; Bathyergidae. The record is from RNAcentral.
GAACAAGCCUGGAUCCUCUCCAUCCACUGCUUUCUUUCUCAACAUGUGACCUCUCCCCCUUUCCGUCAUGUGUAGAUGCUCCAACCACGAGAUGUUGUCACCCAGCCAGAAAGUCCUCAUCAGACCAUCCAGAAGCCGAAGCCUACUUUUGGAAUAUUUAGCUAAAACACAUGUUCAAGUGACCUUGCAAGCAAGGAUGCCGGAAAUGAUUGUUUUGUUUUCUGGAAGCCAACAGGAUCAUCUUUGUUCACUCUGUGCUCAGAUCUGUGUCUCCUUUGGUAUGUGUUCAUUUCCAUCCAGUUUAUCAGGCAUGUGCUUAUUUCUGUAAUUAUGGAAGCCUGUAGCAGUCCUGAGACAUCGUCACUCCAUCUUUUGGAAAUAGAAGCUUUCUCCUCCACUUUGGACCAGAAGGAUUUUGUAUUUUCCUACUCUCAGAACUCUGCUGACUCAAUUCCACUGCAUCAACUACCCCAUGAUAAACAAAGCCUUGUUUGACCUUGUCUCGUUGGUCACAGAAAAAAUGCAAGACAUAGGCUUGGAGAAACGCAUACAGUCUGUUUGCUGAACUUUUUAUUCUAUUAAAGUACCGUUUGCUUGUUUUUACAUCAACAGGUCAAAUUGACUCUUACUUUCUGAUACGGAUAUUCCAUCCCCUCUGCUUACUGUUUGACUGAGCUUUGAUUAUUUGAAAAUUUCUGGACUGUUAUGUAUGGGGUAUGUUACACAUAUAUUCAACAUACAAACAUCUAAUGCACACACAUUUCCAUUCUCUAGCUAUGUAGCCUCACAUGA